UCUUCCUUGCUUCAGCUAGCUCCUUUGCCUGUAUACGACGCUCUCGCUUGGAUUCAACUGGGACAUGAGGCUUGGGUUGUUGCUUCUUAUCUCCCAGCUGCUUUGUCAAUUUAUGGGGUUUCUUCAGAACCUUGUCCGUUGAUGAUUUCAGUUUCUUGGGAGCUGAUUUACCUCCAGCUGCUGGUACAUGCUUUCGCUUUUUGGAAUCGUCUGGUUUUGCCGCCAUUGUUGUCAAGUGUUGAAUUCUGACUCAGUAUUGGGGGUUUUGCAAGGGUUUAUAAUUUGUGGCGCUUUU
Molecule: unclassified non-coding RNA, 295 nt
Filed under: Hevea brasiliensis (rubber tree)
Lineage: Eukaryota; Viridiplantae; Streptophyta; Magnoliopsida; Malpighiales; Euphorbiaceae
Source: RNAcentral